Cyanistes caeruleus (blue tit) is the source of this 1917-nucleotide long non-coding RNA. The record is from Ensembl. Lineage: Eukaryota; Metazoa; Chordata; Aves; Passeriformes; Paridae.
UUUUCCCUUAAUUUCUAUUGUAAUUUUCUUUCUGUAAAUUGUGACUGUGACUUCUUUCCUUUCACAGUGCACCUAUGUGGAGCAUCUGUUUGCAUUUUCUGUAACUGCCCUCAAGGCAAGUAGAUACCCUCCCAGACUUCAGACCCAGUUUCCUCAGCUUUUACGAGCACGUCAAGUACUCCAGCCAUCUCCAAAUCAUGGUUUCCCUCCUCUGCAGCUUCUAAGUGUCUCUUUUGCAUCAGUAAACCCAAACCUGGAGUACGGACAAACCUGCACUAGGACUGAGCAGGGGGGGAUUAUCUCCUCCCUGGAGCUGCUGACCUCGCUCUGGUUCCUGCAGCUGUCUGCAGUGAGCCUUCCUCCCUGCAGGGAGCUCGGCUGCCUCAUAGGGUGUUGUCUGCCACAACCCACAGGGCUGCUAGGGUUAAACUCACAGACAGACCAGAUGAAACCCAGGAAAAACAGUGUCCCUUACAGUUCAUUUAGAAGUCCCAACAGAAUUGGAGCAAUAAUCAUGACAAAGAACAUCAUGUGAAGAAACCUUCUAGAGCAUCAGUCUGGAUACACUGUAGGAUACUGUUUUCACCAGCACUGAGGCAUGUUAAAUCCCACUGAAUCCAGAGGAUUCUAAAAGCUGUCAUUAGUGGGCGUUCAAAUGAAAGGCAUUUGAUGCAAAAACAGGAUGAUGCAAAAGUAAUAACAACCUUUGCUUUUGGAAUUUAAUUAAUCUAAUUAAUGGUUUUUAAAACAUUCUGUAUAUUGUGAGAUGGCAAGUUAAAUAUAAUGAAAAUUGGUGGGGCUCACCACUAGUAACUUCCAUAAACUUGUGAGAGAAAGCUAUGCUCCUUAAAGGACAGCUGAAACAAAGGUGGAUUCCAGCCAAACCCAAAGGAACCUUCUACAGUCCAAAAAAGAAAGUCCUCCUAACAUCACUUGAGAAUUUUAAUGGUAGAGACAGUUAUUUUUCAUUUGGUAUGGCACCAUUAAAGCUCUGCAUACAUACAGAGACUGCUGUCUCCCUCCCUGAGAGAAGAAAAAUAUUGUGAGAACACAGAGAAUGAGAAACAGUAAAGUAAUAAGAUUAAGAAUUUAUAGAUCUAAAUAAUCUGGGUUAGAUUACUACUAUGAUUAGUGAUUGGAAAAAAUCACUUUGUGAAUAUUUUCUAUUCUCAGGCACCAAAUUUUAGUUAAGUGCUCUGCUUUAAAGAAAGGACUGUAUUAUAUAUAUCUCAAGAAUGCUCUUCCUCCUUUAUGUAGUCAAUUAAAACUAGUAUUUUUUUUUGUUGUUAAUGGCUGCUAUAAUUUGCUUUAUACAUAAUCUGACAUAGCGUGCUCACAAGUCUGCAUUUCAGCUUGAGGUAUCUUCAUCACAUUUCACAGUGAUGGAAGUAAUUUGUUCAUCUGAAAAGCUAAGACUCUGCUGAAGCUCAAACUGUUUGCAAUGAAAGAGAAAGACAUGGCAGGAAAUGGAUCCAGUCUCUGACUACUGCAUGGAAGGAAUGAGCUGUAUGUAUCUGGCUUAAUUGUUGAAGGGUGAUACAAUCAAAAUAAUCAUACUUAAUUAUGAAGGAUAAGACAGUGUUAUCAACUAAGUUGUUCAAAGAAACACCUAAACUACACAUAGAAAUCAACCAAUUUUCACAGAAAUAAUUACAGUUGGGUCUUGCCUGCUCUUUAGCCCCAAACAAAGCCAAGUAUAUUUUUGCAUUGCCUUUAAGUAAACGAAGAGGCAAAUUGUGGCUCAAAGAGACAAUGAAUCUCCUGGCUUUCCCUUUCAGUGCCUGAGUUCUUACGUGCUGGUGCAACUAGGUCAUACAGUGCAAGAUUCCCUAUCGUGGUUAUUCUUUUUAUUUGCCUCUUACAGCUCCCCUGGGUGUUAGCAAUAAAGGAAAGUUUUAUUCCUUUUUUCUCCCUCCU